AUUGAACGCUGGCGGCAUGCCUUACACAUGCAAGUCGAACGGUAACGGGCCUUCGGGUGCCGACGAGUGGCGAACGGGUGAGUAAUACAUCGUAACGUUCCCGAUCGUUGGGGAUAACGAGGCGAAAGCUUUGCUAAUACCGCCUACGAUCUACGUAUGAAAGCUGGGGACCGCAAGGCCUUGCGCGGACGGAUCGUCCGAUGGCAGAUUAGGUAGUUGGUGGGAUAUAAGUUUACCAAGCCGACGAUCUGUAGCUGGUCUGAGAGGAUGAUCAGCCACACGGGGACUGAGAAACGGCCCAGACUCCUACGGGAGGCAGCAGUGGGGAAUGUUGGACAAUGGGCGCAAGCCUGAUCCAGCCAUGCCGCGUGCAGGAUGAAGGCCUUCGGGUUGUAAACUGCUUUUGUACGGAACGAAAAGCCUUCUUUUAAUACAGGAGGGUCAUGACGGUACCGUAAGAAUAAGCACCGGCUAACUACGUG
Molecule: ribosomal RNA, 482 nt
Filed under: uncultured bacterium
Lineage: Bacteria
Description: partial 16S ribosomal RNA
Rfam family: Bacterial small subunit ribosomal RNA
Source: RNAcentral